GACGAACGCUGGCGGCGUGCUUAACACAUGCAAGUCGAGCGGUAAGGCCCUUUCGGGGGUACACGAGCGGCGAACGGGUGAGUAACACGUGGGUGACCUGCCCUCAGCUCUGGGAUAAGCCCGUAGGAACGUCGGUACUAAUACGGAUAUGACUCCAUGACGCAUGUUGUGGGGUGGAAAGCCUUGUGCGGCUGAGGAUGGGCCCGCGGCCUAUCAGCUUGUUGGUGGGGGAUGGCCUACCAAGGCGACGACGGGUAGCCGGCCUGAGAGGGCGACCGGCCACACUGGGACUGAGACACGGCCCAGACUCCUACGGGAGGCAGCAGUGGGGAAUCUUGCGCAAUGGGCGAAAGCCUGACGCAGCGACGCCGCGUGA
RNAcentral lists this ribosomal RNA (376 nucleotides) under uncultured bacterium. RNAcentral's name for it is "bacterial SSU rRNA". It matches the Rfam family "Bacterial small subunit ribosomal RNA", at positions 28 to 404 of the family's 1533-position model. The record is from RNAcentral.